RNAcentral lists this ribosomal RNA (300 nucleotides) under uncultured Alteromonadaceae bacterium. Its description in RNAcentral is "bacterial SSU rRNA". It matches the Rfam family "Bacterial small subunit ribosomal RNA", at positions 115 to 414 of the family's 1533-position model. The record is from RNAcentral. Lineage: Bacteria; Pseudomonadati; Pseudomonadota; Gammaproteobacteria; Alteromonadales; Alteromonadaceae.
GCGUGGGAAUCUACCCAGUAGUGGGGGACAACAGUUGGAAACGACUGCUAAUACCGCAUACGCCCUAAGGGGGAAAGGCAGGGGAAGUCUUCGGAUCCUUGUGCUAUUGGAUGAGCCCGCGUGAGAUUAGAUAGUUGGUGAGGUAAUGGCUCACCAAGUCUACGAUCUCUAGCUGGUCUGAGAGGAUGAUCAGCCACACUGGAACUGAGACACGGUCCAGACUCCUACGGGAGGCAGCAGUGGGGAAUAUUGCACAAUGGGCGAAAGCCUGAUCCAGCCAUGCCGCGUGAGUGAUGAAGG